UACGAGGGGGGCGAGCGUUGUUCGGAAUUAUUGGGCGUAAAGGGUGCGUAGGCGGUUUUGUAAGUCUUAUGUGAAAUCUAUGGGCUCAACUCAUAGACUGCAUGAGAAACUGCAGGGCUUGAGUAUGGGAGAGGUGAGUGGAAUUCCUGGUGUAGCGGUGAAAUGCGUAGAUAUCAGGAGGAACACCGGUGGCGAAGGCGGUUCUCUGGGCAUUCCCUGACGCUGAGGAGCGAAAGUGUGGGGAGCGAACAGG
This 253-nucleotide ribosomal RNA is filed under the name uncultured bacterium. RNAcentral describes it as "partial 16S ribosomal RNA". It matches the Rfam family "Bacterial small subunit ribosomal RNA", at positions 524 to 776 of the family's 1533-position model. The record is from RNAcentral.